This is a long non-coding RNA of Neopelma chrysocephalum (saffron-crested tyrant-manakin), 1319 nucleotides long. RefSeq lists it as uncharacterized. The transcript has 5 exons. The record is from RefSeq and is a predicted model, not a curated record. Lineage: Eukaryota; Metazoa; Chordata; Aves; Passeriformes; Pipridae.
UUGGGGUGACAGUCCAUUGCCAACCACUUGUGCUGGGCACUGCCCAGAGCAGCCUCGUGGCUGAGUGUGGGAGGAGCUCUGAGAAGGCUCUCCAGGCACAAAAUGGUCUUGGUGGGAUCUCCUGCCCUGGAGAACCCCUUCCGGAGACAGAGCUGUGGUGGUGGUGCCAAGUCCAGAAUGAUCCCUCUUUGCACUGGGUGCUUUCUUAUCCUACUGGGAAAAUACCUUAAAAAUUAGCACAAGAAGCAAGUGGAUCCUUGCAGAGAGGUAUAGCCUGGACUUCAUAGAUUUGAGUUUCCUUCCUGUUGGUAGAACGUGGAUAACAUGUAGAAAAGUGACUCAGAUUCAUCAUAGGAAAAUAUCACAUGUAAUAACCCUCAGGUGGAACUUUGCUCAAGCUGAAGCAUGGGAUGUGCAAGGCGCCAAACUGCUUUUAUUCCUUGCUUCCAUGGGUUCAUUAAGUGCUGUUUUCACCUCCUUCUCAGCCAAAUUAAAGGGUCAAUGUAGAGGGAGUCAACACACAGAAUUGCUGAGAGUGUGUUUGACGAGUAAAAUGGGAGAAAAUAUGACCCUAAGUUUUUUUGGAUGUUAAACGCAUCUUCUAUGCUUGUUUUUCAGAGCAGAGUUGAAGGUCCUGAUGGAAGCAGAAUGAAUUUAGAUGGCUGGCUAUCUGUGCACCUCUUCCUCUCUCUGGCACUUCAGUGUUCUGUAGUUUUGUCUAUGCUGAUUUUUACCGCUUGGUAAAAUUAUUUUUAUAGUUGUGUUCAAGACGGCUUUUUAGAAACACAUCACAGAAAACUCUGUGGAAUAUAAUUUUGACUGAAGUUUCACCAUGCCACUGUUUGAAUAGACUAGAAAGCCAUCAGUAUUCCCACUGUUCACCUCAUCAUCCAUUCGUGUCCAGUCACUGCUUAAGCAAAUUCAGCUUCUAGACCUGGAUGUAUAACCAGUGUGACUCCUACCUGAUUAUGAAAUCCAUUUUUGCUGGAAACGUGCAUCCCUUCAGUAAGGAACUGCCAGUGAAAUUCUCUACAGUGCUGUGAAUCCAGGGUUUCAAAUGCCUGAAAAUCCUGGCAUCAAGGAUCUGUCUGUUCCAUGGAGCCAUGGAUACAGAGAGAAGUGGAACGUGCUACUGCUCUUUAUCAGAGGGUUCCCUGUGCUCUUGGUGACCGCAGACAAACAGGAAGGAAAUCCCCAGCAUGGAUUUUGAUUUGGUUGUGGAGUUGUUGAAAAGCACAUACUGCCACUGUCCUGGCCUUGUUUGUGACUGGGACUGCAACAGCCUCAUUAGUGUUCCUGGGACUGAAAGUCUGGAAAGA